AGUCGAGCGGAUGAAGAGAGCUUGCUCUCUGAUUCAGCGGCGGACGGGUGAGUAAUGCCUAGGAAUCUGCCUGGUAGUGGGGGACAACGUCUCGAAAGGGACGCUAAUACCGCAUACGUCCUACGGGAGAAAGCAGGGGACCUUCGGGCCUUGCGCUAUCAGAUGAGCCUAGGUCGGAUUAGCUAGUUGGUGAGGUAAUGGCUCACCAAGGCGACGAUCCGUAACUGGUCUGAGAGGAUGAUCAGUCACACUGGAACUGAGACACGGUCCAGACUCCUACGGGAGGCAGCAGUGGGGAAUAUUGGACAAUGGGCGAAAGCCUGAUCCAGCCAUGCCGCGUGUGUGAAGAAGGUCUUCGGAUUGUAAAGCACUUUAAGUUGGGAGGAAGGGCAGUAAGCGAAUACCUUGCUGUUUUGACGUUACCGACAGAAUAAGCACCGGCUAACUCUGUGCCAGCAGCCGCGGUAAUACAGAGGGUGCAAGCGUUAAUCGGAAUUACUGGGCGUAAAGCGCGCGUAGGUGGUUUGUUAAGUUGAAUGUGAAAUCCCCGGGCUCAACCUGGGAACUGCAUCUAAAACUGGCAAGCUAGAGUAGGGC
This 597-nucleotide ribosomal RNA is filed under the name bacterium 92-L049616-122-011-D12. RNAcentral's name for it is "bacterial SSU rRNA". It matches the Rfam family "Bacterial small subunit ribosomal RNA", at positions 60 to 652 of the family's 1533-position model. The record is from RNAcentral.